RNAcentral lists this long non-coding RNA (454 nucleotides) under Nicotiana tabacum (common tobacco). Its description in RNAcentral is "long non-coding RNA (NTAB_LNC008480)". The record is from RNAcentral. Lineage: Eukaryota; Viridiplantae; Streptophyta; Magnoliopsida; Solanales; Solanaceae.
AAGACAAGUAUAGAGAGAAAUUGAUAUAUUAUUCGAAUUCAAACUCAUGUACAUAAUGAACUGAAAUCUCUUCUAUUUAUAGAAGAAAGGAAGCUGUUGUGUAAGCUGCUACUAUACCAGAUAUGGAUAAUCUUCUACUGAGAGCAAUGUUUAUCCAUAACGGAGUACUGAAAGGAUAAGCUUAUUAUACCCGAUAUGGAUAAUCUUCUACCGGGGGUAAUGUUUAUCCAUAACUAGGUACUGAAAGGAUAAGCUUAUUAUACCCGGUAUGGAUAAUCUUCUACCGGGGGUAAUGUUUAUCCAUAACUGGGUACUGAAAGGAUAAGCUUAUUAUACCCGGUAUGGAUAAUCUUCUACCGGGGGUAAUGUUUAUCCAUAACCGGGUAUCGAAGUGAUAAGCUUCUUCAGGAAGUUUAUUUCCAAUAGAGUACUUAAAUAGAUAAACAUAUUUACG